CCAUUCCAGAAAAAUUGUCCCUGGAAGGAAUUGUGGUGCAACGGGCAGAAUGUCGGCCAGCCGCCAACGAAAGUUACAUGAAACUGAAAAGGCUGCAGAUAGAAGAAUCCUCCAAGCCGGUCAGCUGGACCAUGCAGCUGGACAAGGCCGUCACCACCAAUUACAAACCGGUGGCCAAUCAUCAUUACAACGUGAGU
Non-coding RNA from Notechis scutatus (mainland tiger snake), 197 nucleotides. Lineage: Eukaryota; Metazoa; Chordata; Lepidosauria; Squamata; Elapidae. The record is from RefSeq and is a predicted model, not a curated record.